This is a long non-coding RNA of Anser cygnoides (Swan goose), 1715 nucleotides long. NCBI's taxonomy places the organism in Eukaryota, Metazoa, Chordata, Aves, Anseriformes, Anatidae. The record is from Ensembl.
AUGUGUCGGGAACAUGUGGCAAGAAAUCCUAAGGGGUACAGUUGCAAAAAGCUGGUUCUCUGGGGGUUUCCUUUGCAUUGCCUGCAAAAGGAGGGGCCGGCCUUUUGGAGCUGUGCUCCAGACGAAAAGAAAGGAGCCAGUGCACCCAGGAAAGCAAGGGCAAGCACAGGCGUGGCGGUGCCCGAUAACCCCUUGGCACUGCUGUCUGUGCUCUUCUCCGGCUACACCUCACGGCAGCGGCAGAUCAACCCCAAAUACCUCCAGCUGAGCCCUAGCAACGUUACCCGCCCUUCAAGCACGGAUCUACGAGGGGAGAUGGAAGGGGAGGUAACGCAUCGCUGUGUGUGUAGGUGGUGCCAGGAGUUCCCCUGCAGGCUCCCAGGGCACUGCUCGUGCCCCGCCACAUCGGCCUGCUCGCCCUCCCGGGGGGCUACGCGCAACCACGGCAGGUGCCCCCACGCCUCCACGAAAAGCCCCCUGCGCACGGAUGGCUGCCAGAAAAAUAAAAACCCUCCCUGGAAACGGGGCUGCCAGGGGCUUCGGCAGCGGAUCACGGCCCAGCCUUGGCCCCCGGGCGGCCUCGGCGAGGCCCGGCUCCCGCCUCCCCCCCCCCGCGCCGCGGCCGCCUCCGAGGCCGGCGGGCUCCGAGCCCCCUCUGGCGGCUGCUCGGGGGAUGUCGGGGCCCCGCUGCCUCCUGCCGCCCGCUCCCGGGCGCCUGCUGCUGUUUUCUGCCCCGAACCGUGCCCUGCAUGUGGGUGAAACGCCCCCAGCCCGGCCCGGAGGCAGGUUUCCUCAGCAGCCUCCUCCCGCCCUCGGUGAGCGCCUGUCCCACUCGAGGUCUUGGGGAUGCUUGAGAUGGUUCCCCCCUCACAGAGAGGCCACCGCUGGCCCGGGGAGUCCACGAACUUCAGGGUGCUCGAGGCUGAAAGGCUGUUCUGGGGAAGAACUCCGUGCUUGCCGUGUUCUCCUACCCUCUCCUAAGCUGCUGCAGAUGGGAAGAGGAGGGGGAGAUGUCAAGCUCUGGGUGAGGGAUGUCAGACGUGCUGCAUAGGAAGCCCUCUGCCAUCGGGCUCCACAGACAGAGGUGUUUGUUGCCAGGAUGCAUUUCUACGCCCAGGUGUUUUGGCCGUGAAUCCAGUGAUCUGGCUGCUUGUUCCUACCCCACAAUUCGUCCCUGCUCUGCUGGUCCAGCACAAGUGUUUGCAGGAGCCUGCUGAGAACUGGGCAAGGUGGGAAUACAUAUGUAGAGGUGAGAACAUCUUAAACUGGCUUUCUUCUUCAGGAAGGUAGAGGUUUCAUCUUAAAGUGGACAGAUGUGCCCUGCAGUCUCACUGUCUCAGCUUCUCACACAUCCCAUCCUUAACAAGGCCACUUCAUGCUUUCUGUUCAUAGGAACUUGCCUCCAGCUGCUUGUAGUAGGGAAGCCCAAGGUGGUUUUGCAGCACAGAAACUCCCUCUGGCACAACAGGGCCAUGCAGCCAGCGUGUUCUUUCUUAGCAGGGGCAGUCGUGCUGAUACAAAUACUUUGGGUACGUGUUAGGUAGCACAAGCUCAGCCUGUGGAUGCCCUGGAGUUGCUCUGGGAAAGGGGCUGGCAGGAAUGGCUCGCUGUGGCAUGAACAAUUCACACGUCCUGUUCCUGACCAACCUCCUUUUUGUGGCGGUGGUGACCACAACCUCAACCUGCACCCCCCAUAUCUUCCUCCAGGGGUGUCU